RNAcentral lists this ribosomal RNA (292 nucleotides) under uncultured bacterium. RNAcentral's name for it is "partial 16S ribosomal RNA". It matches the Rfam family "Bacterial small subunit ribosomal RNA", at positions 505 to 796 of the family's 1533-position model. The record is from RNAcentral.
GUGUCAGCAGCCGCGGUAAAACGUAGGACACGAGCGUUAUCCGGAGUUACUGGGCGUAAAGGGCGAGUAGGUGGCCUAGUAAGACUGGUGUGAAAGCCUUCGGCUUAACCGAGGGAGGACACUGGUGACUGCUAAGCUUGAGGCAGAUAGAGGGGUGUAGAAUUCCGGGUGUAGUGGUGAAAUGCGUAGAGAUCCGGAGGAAUACCAGAGGCGAAGGCGGCACCCUGGGUCUGACCUGACACUGAUCCGCGACAGCAUGGGGAGCGAACGGGAUUAGAAACCCCCGUAGUCC